GAGGGUAUAGCUCAAGUGGUAGAGUGCAUGCCUAGCAUGCAUGAGGUCCUGGGUUCAAUCCCCAGUACCUCCU
Molecule: transfer RNA, 73 nt
Filed under: Camelus bactrianus (Bactrian camel)
Lineage: Eukaryota; Metazoa; Chordata; Mammalia; Artiodactyla; Camelidae
Also listed under: 1 other name
Rfam family: tRNA
About the family: Transfer RNA (tRNA) molecules are approximately 80 nucleotides in length.
Source: Rfam by way of RNAcentral